Molecule: long non-coding RNA, 215 nt
Filed under: Zonotrichia albicollis (white-throated sparrow)
Lineage: Eukaryota; Metazoa; Chordata; Aves; Passeriformes; Passerellidae
Description: lncRNA (ENSZALG00000017290.1)
Source: RNAcentral
AUCCUAUCAUAUGAUCCAGACUAGCAUAAAAAAUAUUGUCUACCCAAUCCUUACAGCUGGAAUUACUCCAGGUUUCUUGAGAUGUGAAAUGAUUUACCAAGCAAGAAUGGCUGUCUCCAGAAUUUUGUCAGAAAGCUGGAAUUUACAUGGCGUUGCAAUUGAAAGAAGAUGAAGAACGUAAUUCUGAGGUACCUUCUCAGAAGUAAAAAUAAAAG